This 83-nucleotide transfer RNA is filed under the name Alces alces cameloides. RNAcentral's name for it is "tRNA-Asn". Lineage: Eukaryota; Metazoa; Chordata; Mammalia; Artiodactyla; Cervidae. The record is from RNAcentral.
UAGAUUGAAGCCAGUUGAUUAGGGUGUUUAGCUGUUAACUAAAGUCUCGUGGGGGUGGGUGGGGGUGGAGCCCACCAAUCUAG